RNAcentral lists this long non-coding RNA (1293 nucleotides) under Rattus norvegicus (Norway rat). RNAcentral describes it as "long non-coding RNA NONRATT010562". The record is from RNAcentral. Lineage: Eukaryota; Metazoa; Chordata; Mammalia; Rodentia; Muridae.
CAACUGUUCUGGGAAAUAUUGACGUUGGUACCUAGUACUCCACAUCUGGUUCACCCCAUCUUUCCUCCAGCCCUUCAGUGCUCUGUCAGGGUCUGUGGUCCUCAGCAGGCUGUGCCUUCCAAACAGGACAACAGAGUCAUUCCCAUGUGUCCCAAAAUCACCAUGUCUCUCAUCACUGUUUCCUCCAGAUGUAAACUGACACCAGAGCAUGGCCUCCUACACUGUCUCCCCCACAGUAGGAGCAUGUACCAGGGGGUGUUCAGAGUAAGCCAUGGAGCUGGACAAGCCUAGCUGGCAGCAUCACCCUGUCCCUCCUAGUGGUGUGACCACAUGCUAGUCCUAUAACUUCUGUGAGCCAGGCUCCAGCUGCUGUGUGCCUAACACUCACCCCCUAGUGCUCCUUGGAAAAUUACUUUGGAAAUUUAAGUAUUUGAGCCUGUGUUUCCUACUUCCCAUCUCAGACAUGCCUCUAGAGGCUGCCUUGCCUGCGUUCUCCCUUCAUUGUAAAGUAGCAAACUACAAAGAAAGCUUAGGACAAACAAAAAAACAAAAACUCCCCCUGGACUCUCCAUCAUUAAAAAAAAAAAAAAAAAGCAUUUUUAGUGUUUUGGUGAAUUUUUCCAUUAUUUUUAUUCCUGUCAUAGUUUAAAGAUGUGGUUGUUACAUUUUUGCCUUUUGUGAUUGUGUGCCUUUUAUUCGCAGUACACAUUGUAUUCCUCUAUAAUUGACUACUGCCAUUAACCUAACCCUCCCUUAAUGUUGACUACUCAGAUACUAUUUCUUUUUCCUUUUUUUUUAUUUUUGUUUUUUAGAUAAAGGUGUGUCUAUUUAUCAGAACAUUCCUGUGUUUGGGUCUAUGCCCAUAGCAGGAAGUAGCAUAAAUAGAUUUGUGGGUUAGAGGGGAGAAACUAUAGCACUGACCUCGUUUCAGAAAGUCCUAACCCCACCCAUGUGCAGCAGCUGCAAUUCCUCAGUUAGAAUCAUACUGCAUUUUAAACCAGGCUAAGAGCAUACUUGAGAGGUGGAGAGAGAAUCUGCUGCUCUUAAUAUAACUCUUUUUAGACCCUUCUUUUUUAACUGGAACUAAAGUUGCUUUAAAAUACCAAAAUGUGUCACCCUUGUGCCUGCAGGAAGAAGUAGCUAAAAACUUAUUAGCUGAAUUCAACUUGGGGUGUGAUGUCCACCAGACUGAGCAUGUGUACCGCGUCUAUGUGGCCACAUUUCUUGGGUUUGGUGGUAAUGCUGCUCGGCAGAGAUAUGAAGACAGACUAUUUGCCAGCACAGUUCAGAAAA